CAGAAUACCAACAUCUAUGUUCCAGUGGCUCUCUGCUUCAGAGAGGUUCCCUUUGCCUUUUCUUUUACUCGGAACUCCUCCACUUUAUUUCCACCUCCACCCGAGGAAAUAGUGUGCUUCAUUCACACAGACAGUCUGGAACUCUUGCCAAUUUGGGCUUUUUAGGCCAAAAAAUGAUGUAAACAGAGAGCAUGACUACUUGCUUAAAAAUGGAGUCUUUGCAGACCGCUCAAUUCCUGUACCUAUUGCUCAGGAAACAUUAUAGAAGAGGAGUGUUAAGUCUGUAAGAAGCUCAGGAUCAUACAGCUUUUGUAGAAUUGCGUCUCCCAGCAAUGUCAGAAGCUACGCCAAAAAGUCUCACCAACAUAACUGGCUAAACCUGAGCCGAACGAAGCCAAUACCAAACAUGACAAAGUGGAGGUAUGUGGUUCCCAUCUGUAAUGCCUACACCGAGUAAAUGAGGCAGGAGGAAGUGCGAACUGGACAUUUGAGCUAUAUGGGUUCUAAGGAUUCAGAGUGAGUCCCCGUUGUAAGAAAACCAAAACUCAGUAAAAAAUGGAAAGACCUAUGAGGGGUUCUCAUGGAGCCUGGAGUUCAUCAAUUCAACUGAUCUCUACGUGUACGCUAGAAUUGCAGGCAUGCUACAUGACCACUGAACGUCUAUGUGGGUAUCGGGAUCUAAAUUCUGGUGGUUGGACUGGCACAGCAAUUGCUUUGCCCACUGAUCUAUCGUCCCACACUUAAAAAAUCUGGAGAGAUAAUGUAGCACUUCUUUCAUAAAAUUCAAUUCUGUAAAAAAGUAUCAUGCC
Molecule: small RNA, 809 nt
Filed under: Rattus norvegicus (Norway rat)
Lineage: Eukaryota; Metazoa; Chordata; Mammalia; Rodentia; Muridae
Description: uncharacterized LOC102552661
Source: RNAcentral